Molecule: ribosomal RNA, 460 nt
Filed under: uncultured bacterium
Lineage: Bacteria
Description: partial 16S ribosomal RNA
Rfam family: Bacterial small subunit ribosomal RNA
Source: RNAcentral
CCUACGGGUGGCUGCAGUGAGGAAUAUUGGUCAAUGGGCGUAAGCCUGAACCAGCCAAGUCGCGUGAGGGAUGAAGGUUCUAUGGAUCGUAAACAUCUUUUAUAAGGGAAUAAAGUGUGGGACGUGUCCUAUUUUGUAUGUACCUUAUGAAUAAGGAUCGGCUAACUCCGUGCCAGCAGCCGCGGUAAUACGGAGGAUCCGAGCGUUAUCCGGAUUGAUUGGGUUUAAAGGGUGCGUAGGCGGCCUUUUAAGUCAGCGGUGAAAGUCUGUGGCUCAACCAUAGAAUUGCAUGUGAAACUGGCGGGCUUGAGUAUGUUUGAGGCAGGCGGAAUGCGUGGUGUAGCGGUGAAAUGCUUAGAUAUCACGCAGAACCCCGAUGGCGAAGGCAGCCUGCCAAGCCAUGACUGACGCUGAUGCACGAAAGCGUGGGGAUCAAACAGGAUUAGAUACCCUAGUAGUC